Long non-coding RNA from Globicephala melas (long-finned pilot whale), 3919 nucleotides. RefSeq lists it as uncharacterized. Lineage: Eukaryota; Metazoa; Chordata; Mammalia; Artiodactyla; Delphinidae. The record is from RefSeq and is a predicted model, not a curated record.
CUUGCGGCUGAGCCAGCGAAAGAAAGCCGGGACUCCCAUAGCGGCGGCGCAGCUGUAGGCGGCUGCCCGGCCCGCGGACGGACGUAACCAGAGAGACAGGCAGCAGCGGGCCACAGGCACUGGCACUUCCUCCCACGUGCACCCGGCGACAGGAAGUGAGGUGAUGGCGCUGCCGCCUGGGAAGCCGGGAAGGAAGCUCCGGCCCGGCUGGGCAGAGCGGGCCUGGUCGGGGGCGGGGCUGGCCAGUGGAGCGGGUGGCGAGGGCAGCAGCCGGCGCGGCUCGGCGCGCGUUCUCGGCGGUACGUGUCCCGGAGCCUCUUCUGCAGCGGGCGCCCCUCGGGCGGGAUCCCUGCGCCUCGCAGGCCGCCAGGGAGCCUUGGCCGGUCUGGUCUCCUCCUCUUUCCCACCUAUCUUGAUUCACGUAGAAUCUAAGCAUCUACACGCACUCGUUAUUUCUGCUUCCUGCUUUCUCCCGGUUUUAUGCCACAGCUUCAUCUAGUGGGCAUGACGGAUCACUGACUGCAUUUCCAGACCUUAUCUCCUCCCCUGAAAUCAGAGGGUGGGACUGAAAGUUCCAAUCCUCUAAUCAAGGUCUCACUCUUUCUAAGCACCCCCUCCAGAAUGAUUCAUCUCUACCCAAAAAAGAUGCAGUGAAGACAGCAUGAUGGAGGCAGAGGUUCCCACAAGGGAAAUGCACAGCUUGGAAUUACUAUCCAGAGAAAUCAAUGAGCCACCAAGAAAUAAAGUAAGAACUGAGAGAAGACCCACGAAGAAGCCAAUAUACCAAGUAGUGAGCACGCUGGGUGUUUAUGUGCGAGCAGAAAUGAAAAUGUUAUAUGUGGAAGCUCUUACUCACCUGGACUAGUUUAGAAUAGUGGUCACCACAAAUUAGCAACGGCUCUCAUUGAAACCUACAACGUGUGAAGGAGGUGGACCAGGAGAGGAGCAAAGAGUGGCCCAGGUAAAAAUGAUCACCUGGUCAUGAACCUCCCUUGGCACACGCAUGCCUGGAACUACUGAGCUCCCAGCGUCCGCUUGCCAAACUCCUAUUGGUUCUCUGAGACUCACCCCAAAGGUAAUGUCCUGAUUGAAUCCAUGCACAGACAGUCUAUCCAAUCCUUUAGGUGUGUUUCCACAGAACAGCAAAUAAUACCAUUAGAUAUUUUCUGCGUGCCUUUGUUAAGUGAGUGAUUGAAUAAAUCGUUACUUCUUAUAUUAUUGCCAAAACAUCUAUGAGAAAUGUUUGAGCUGGAGACCGGAUGCAGGCACCUCUGAAAAGGGAGAAAGAACUAGUCCUUGGCAAACAUUGGGACAAGGAUGCAAGACUGACAGCAUUCCCAUGGCUCUGGAGGGAGUGAUGUGGUCUGCUUUCGGUUGAUUUCAUACCGUUGGCCUAAGUACACUCACAAGUGCUAGGAAGGCCUGGCAACGGGACCCUGCGAACGCCACUUAGUAAGCUACUACGGUGAUUAAACUGCAGGAUGCUGCAGAGUGCCUUCUUAGCUCUUUUCUCUAGCACGUCCCCUCAGCUGGGAAGCAUCCGGCUUUUAAUUUGGGAAAGCAGGAGAUGGCAGGCGUCCUGUCCAUCAGCGUCAUCUGUCACCAUCUUUGAGCUGCCAGCACGACAGCUGGGGAAGAGCGGGUUCAAGUUGACGGGCAGAACGUUUUACAUCGAAUGAGUUUGUGUGGAAUAACAGUAUAAUAAAUAAGGCUCUAGAGGAACCCGGUUAUCACUUGCAUUCCAAAAGUGAGAUAUGGCCUCACCAGGAGCUCACAGAGCCAUCUGUCGUCAAAUAGUCUUUGUGUCAAAGGCUGGACUGGCCUGAGGAAAUGGAAACAUCAGCAGAGGAGAGCAAAUGACAACACUGUGUCUUUUCCAAAAGAUUUACAGGGAGCCACCUCCAGGAGCUGGAGAUUUCCAGACGAUUUGGAAAUAAAUAUAUAAAACCACUACCCAAAGCGGUGAGACUUGAAAUCCUGGCUGCUGAAUGCUAAUGAGUCUUCCCACUGGAUAAGUUCAGUUUCUGUCACUCGGGGUACGUUCUUGAGUAAUAUAAUCUUUAUCUGCUUGGAUUUGGGGCUGGGAUUACUGUGAUCUCCUUUAAUGUGUUUUUGCCAGUUUGAUAUAUCAAAAUCCGAUCGUCCCCGAAGCACUCUGCUGAUGACACAACCGCUGGUGACAGGAACACUGAAAGUGGAUGAAAUCUUGAGAAUUGGAGAAAAGCUGUAGGGAUUUGUGGUUGUUUGGUUUCCUCGUUUUUUUGUUGAGGAAAAGGAGGAGGGAACUCACAAGCUGACACGAUAGAGAAUUGGGCGUAAACAACACCUCAUGGGUCAAUAGCACAACCACCAGCUGAGUGCCGCAGACCACGUGUUGACGGGAACGUCUGGGAGGGCAGAGAGGCGCUCUGGCCAUUGGAAAAGGAAAUGCAUUAGAAGAGCAAUUCAUUGAGAUGAAAAGUUCAAGGCUAGCCAAGUCCCAGGGGCAGCAAAUGUGGGAGAUUUGAUGGGCCUUAUCUGCAUAAGGUCUUCAGCCUGGACUGGCCCUGGUAAGGUUUAGUCCUGGAGGAUGUGCGAGGUUCCACUGUGAUGGGAGACCCUGCAGUGGCUGCCCUUGGGAAUUACAGGGUUGGGUCCCUAGGGUCAGAGUUCAGUGAGGCCGACUUUGGUGGUUCAAACUCACAGAAUUCGCCUCUGAUCGGGUUUCCCUGUUUGGAACAAUCCUUCCCCAGUGUAUCUCUGGACCAGGACCAGUGGACAUUUACAGCACGGAUGGCAGGGUGGUCCCCACCUCCAUUUGCCCCCUUCGGGGCGCCUCACUGUGUGGCAGAGCCUGCAGAGCUGAAAACGCUACCCUCCAGCCUCGACUAGAGUUCGGCUGUGAUUUAGGGAGGUCCUACCAAUCGGACGGACCUGUGUGAGACUUGGAGACUGGUUUCGUUCUGGUGGCCAGGAACGGGAGUUAUUGCAUAAUGGGGACAGAGUCCCAGCUGUACAAGACAAAAAGAGUUCCGGAGACGGACGGUGAUGACGGCUGCACAGCAAGGUGAAUGUCCUUAAUGCCACUGAACUGUACACUUAAAAAUGGGUAAGGUGGUAAAUUUCAUGUUAUGUGUAUUUUACCACGAUUAAAAGUUGUUUUUUAAAAAAUUUUUUUUGGGCCUUGAGGCUUGUGGGAUCUUAGUUCCCUGACCAGAGAUUGAACCUGGGCCCCCGGCAGUGAAAGUGUGGAGUCCCAACAACUGGACCACCAGGGAACUUAAAAAAAAUUGUUUUUUUAAUAAAAAGAAAAAUCAUUCCACUCUUGUGCAUAUAUAAAAAGGAAAAUAUAGGCCGAAUCAAUAAGUUAAUGCUUUUCUAAAACUCACGCAUGUGUAGAACUUACUCCUUCUAAAUCACUUUUUGAUUCAGAGUCACUGAUGCCCAGGUUUACCAGCAUCACCGGUCUCAGUACCACGAGCAGCGCAGUGAGGGUGAGGCAGCAUUUAAGGCCGCUCCACCGUAUCCAGGAUGUUCAUCCAGGUUCCUGACGCCCAUUCUGCAAGUCCUGAUGCAUCAGCAACACCCACGCCCUGACUGCUGACUGGCCAACAUGGCAUAGCCCAAUCUCAGAGCUGUUAAAACAUGGGGAAACAGUGUGUGCCAGAAGCAAUGAAAUACUCUUCUUCACUUUUAUUAGCUGGCCUGGAUGAGCCUAAAACGAGGCUACCAAAACGCUCCCUCUAAAUGGAAAUCUCGUCCCCUGUUUAAAACCCUUCAAUGGCUUUGAACAUUGACCAAAAGAACAAAGUCCAAACCCCUCUGCAUGGGAUACAAAACUCUUCACGACCUGUUUCUUUAAAAAAUUAUUAAUUAGGGCUUCCCUGGUGGCGCAGUGGUUGAGAACCUGCCUGCCAAUGCAGGGGACACAGGUUCGAGC